This 465-nucleotide ribosomal RNA is filed under the name Vreelandella stevensii. RNAcentral's name for it is "partial 16S ribosomal RNA". It matches the Rfam family "Bacterial small subunit ribosomal RNA", at positions 338 to 795 of the family's 1533-position model. Lineage: Bacteria; Pseudomonadati; Pseudomonadota; Gammaproteobacteria; Oceanospirillales; Halomonadaceae. The record is from RNAcentral.
CCUACGAGAGGCUGCAGUGGGGAAUAUUGGACAAUGGGGGGAACCCUGAUCCAGCCGUGCCGCGUGUGUGAAGAAGGCCCUCGGGUUGUAAAGCACUUUCAGUGAGGAAGAACGCCUGGUGGUUAAUACCCAUCAGGAAAGACAUCACUCACAGAAGAAGCACCGGCUAACUCCGUGCCAGCAGCCGCGGUAAUACGGAGGGUGCGAGCGUUAAUCGGAAUUACUGGGCGUAAAGCGCGCGUAGGUGGCUUGAUAAGCCGGUUGUGAAAGCCCCGGGCUCAACCUGGGAACGGCAUCCGGAACUGUCAAGCUAGAGUGCAGGAGAGGAAGGUAGAAUUCCCGGUGUAGCGGUGAAAUGCGUAGAGAUCGGGAGGAAUACCAGUGGCGAAGGCGGCCUUCUGGACUGACACUGACACUGAGGUGCGAAAGCGUGGGUAGCAAACAGGAUUAGAUACCCCGGUAGUC